AGAGUUUGAUCAUGGCUCAGAAUCAACGCUGGCGGCGUGCCUCAGACAUGCAAGUCGAACGAUUAAACUUUCCUUCGGGAGAGAUAUAAAGUGGCGCACGGGUGAGUAACACGUAGGUAAUGUACCUUUGGGUGGGGAAUAACUUAGGGAAACUUAAGCUAAUACCGCAUAAUGCAGCGGCUCCUUCGGGAGACAGUUGUUAAAGCGUUUACGCGCCUAAAGAGCAGCCUGCGGCAGAUUAGCCAGUUGGUGGGGUAACGGCCUACCAAAGCAGCGAUCGGUAGCUGGUCUGAGAGGAUGACCAGCCAGACUGGGACUGGGACACGGCCCAGACUCCUACGGGAGGCAGCAGUUAGGAAUUUUGGGCAAUGGCCGCAAGGCUGACCCAGCAACGCCGCGUGGGGGAUGAAGGCUCUCGGGUUGUAAACCCCUUUUCCCAGGGACGAUGAUGACGGUACCUGGGGAAUCAGCCCCGGCUAACUACGUGCCAGCAGCCGCGGUAAUACGUAGGGGGCAAGCGUUGUCCGGAUUUAUUGGGCGUAAAGCGCGCGUAGGCGGCGCGACAAGUCGGCCGUGAAAUCUCCCGGCUCAACUGGGAGGGGACGGGCGAGACUGUCGGGCUGGAGGCGGGCAGGGGGCAGUGGAAUUCCGGGUGUAGUGGUGGAAUGCGUAGAGCUCCGGAGGAACACCAGUGGCGAAGGCGGCUGCCUGGGCCUGGCCUGACGCUGAGGCGCGAAAGCGUGGGGAGCGAGCCGGAUUAGAUACCCCCGUAGUCC
This 776-nucleotide ribosomal RNA is filed under the name uncultured soil bacterium. RNAcentral describes it as "bacterial SSU rRNA". It matches the Rfam family "Bacterial small subunit ribosomal RNA", at positions 8 to 796 of the family's 1533-position model. The record is from RNAcentral.